CCGGCCCCGGAUAAGCGGAAGAAGAUGGUAUGGUAUGGUAAUUCAGUUCUGCAUUAUCUGGUUGUUGUAGGGUGAAGUGCAUUCCCAUGUUGACUGCAUAUCGUUCAUGUUGUCCCCCACUGAUAAGCUAGCUUACUGCUAAAAUUUACAAUCAACCUAUUGACCUCUGCAGGUGCAUUUGUAAUUGUGAUAUAGUUACUCAAGUCUUUCAUGUGACAUUACCAUUAUUUUGUUCUCCCCUAUAGGUCAAUAUGACCUGCUAAAAUGCAUAAUGAAAUUCCCACCAUUGAUAAGUACAGUAGUUUACAUUGGCCUAAGAAUAGUGUGUGGAAAUGAGUGGAAACCUGAAAAGGAGCCAUGUGGUUCCCUUGAAGCCAUGAUCUAUAAGACUCAACAUUAUGUAGGCUCUGCCUUUUUUAUACUGGUAGAUAAAUCUUUAACAUGAAGACAAAAAAAUUGUGGCCCUAAUCUUUAUUAGGUCCUUGAUGUUAAUGAGGUUUUAGUGUUAUUUUGUCCACCCCCUGUAUUGUCCUGGUGUGAAAGCGUUGAGUCAAGACCAGUGGAACGAUACAUGGAAUUAAUCUUACAUUUUAAUUAACUUAGUCUUCUGAUGAUAUUGUUAAUUGAAUACAAUCUCAAUAAAUCCAUUUUAUAAAGCUUUUUGAAAUCCAGCCUAAAACCCAGAAAAACAAGCUAUAGAGAAGCACAUGUUAUGCUACUCUGUAGAAAGACAGGAACCUAGGGGUGGCCCUCAGUGGGGUAGCUGUUAGAGGUGUAGGUGGCUAUGGCUGAUUGGUGGCUGCUCUGCCACAUUAUGUACCCUGCCAUGUUCUGUCUACUGUGAGUUCUGUGCUGCUGGUUGAUUGUGCGCUGUGUUCCUGACUGCAGCUUGCAAAGGGCCUGACUCCAUCUCUGGACUUCCCGAUGAACGGUCAACCUCUCAAUGGAAGACAUGAGUGUUAAACCUGUGAAAACAUCGAGCAUCUUAUCAGUAAUAAGGGACCAUGGUCCUUCAGGAUGACAGCCCACCUGCUGACCUGUGUACAGAGGACAGUCUUGCCAGCAGGGUGUUUUCAAGGAGAGCCCAACAUAAGUCCAGUCUAAGAGAAGCCCUCCCCAGCCUGAGUGAGCUAAUUACUCCAGGCUCCUCCACAGACACUCAACAAACCACAGGUGCCAAACUCGUGUUUUACCUUAAAGUUCAGAAUGUGUUCUGUGUCCAUUGACAGCGCCAAUUGGCCACUCAUGGUGCUAUUUUUAUUUUACUACCAGAACAAUUUCAGCUUUUUAUAACUGCAAAGCCAAAUCGCAUUGAAAUGUUUACUCUUCCCUCCCCACCUGAGCCCUUUCUAAAGUCCUUGGUACCAAACGUAUACUCCAAGUCUAGAGUCAACAUUAGCAUAAAUUACUGGUGCAGCCUUGGUAUCGGGGUAAAGCACCAGUGGAAAUGCGGCAUGAGUGACCCCCCCAUCUCAGAAUAGGCCCUCUACAUCUUAAUCAACAACCUGACAAAAAUGUUUGCCCAGAUAGAAGUAGAACAGGUACUGCUCAGAGAGAAGGUGAACACAAGACAUCUGACUGAAGACAAACAGAGGACAAGAUGACUGUGAACCCACAGCACAGUUGUGAAACCCAAGAAAGAAUUGACUGAGCUCUCAGCAGAGGUGAGAGAGCUGGAGAGCGAUAUGGAGAACUGUAAGACAGAGGCAACGAUGUGCCUUCAAACCCAGUUGGACACUAUAGACCUGCCUGAAGCCAACACCAACCAAAUCUGAACUUAGACAUCACCUCCCACCACCACCGCACAACACCCCAACCAUACCACAAAUGCCACUCUACCCCAGCCCCAAAAUCUAACAGCCCCAAAUCUACUCCCUCCAGACCUGAGGACAGACAGGCUGACAUCAUCCUGCUGAUGGAUUCCAAUGGUAAAUUUACUCAAGAGAAACCCUUCCCUGAUCAAAAAACCAAAAGAUGUGGUGCCCUACAAACUGAAGUACAAUGGACCUCCUCAGUACGGCCCAGAUGAGAUCACCACAUUAUAAUACACACUGGGACCAAUGACCUGCGGGCACAGCAAGAGAGAGUGGCCACCUCCAGCGUCCCAACACAAAAAUAGUGGUGUCAGCCCUCCUCCUAAGAACAGAAUUCCACCCAACCACAUCCAGCGCAUGAACGCCAGCCUCUCCAGAGCCUGGGCCCUGAUACCAAAUGUACAGGUGCUGGUCGUAUAAUUA
Long non-coding RNA from Esox lucius (northern pike), 2237 nucleotides. RefSeq lists it as uncharacterized. The record is from RefSeq and is a predicted model, not a curated record. Lineage: Eukaryota; Metazoa; Chordata; Actinopteri; Esociformes; Esocidae. The transcript has 3 exons.